RNAcentral lists this ribosomal RNA (468 nucleotides) under uncultured bacterium. RNAcentral's name for it is "partial 16S ribosomal RNA". It matches the Rfam family "Bacterial small subunit ribosomal RNA", at positions 28 to 507 of the family's 1533-position model. The record is from RNAcentral.
GACGAACGCUGGCGGCGUGCUUAACACAUGCAAGUCGAACGGAAAGGCCCUGCUUUUGUGGGGUGCUCGAGUGGCGAACGGGUGAGUAACACGUGAGUAACCUGCCCUUGACUUUGGGAUAACUUCAGGAAACUGGGGCUAAUACCGGAUAGGAGCUCCUGCUGCAUGGUGGGGGUUGGAAAGUUUCGGCGGUUGGGGAUGGACUCGCGGCUUAUCAGCUUGUUGGUGGGGUAGUGGCUUACCAAGGCUUUGACGGGUAGCCGGCCUGAGAGGGUGACCGGCCAAAUUGGGACUGAGGUACGGCCCAGACUCCUACGGGAGGCAGAAGUGGAGAAUAUUGCACAGUAGGCGGAAGCCUGAUGCAGCAACGCCGCGUGCGGGAUGACGGCCUUCGGGUUGUAAACCGCUUUCGCCUGUGACGAAGCGUGAGUGACGGUAAUGGGUAAAGAAGCACCGGCUAACUACGUG